RNAcentral lists this long non-coding RNA (2992 nucleotides) under Manduca sexta (tobacco hornworm). RNAcentral describes it as "uncharacterized LOC119190505". The record is from RNAcentral. Lineage: Eukaryota; Metazoa; Arthropoda; Insecta; Lepidoptera; Sphingidae.
AAAUGUUUUCGCAAUAAUUUUCAGAAAAAAUCCUACUCAUUGGCAACCAAAGGGCAAAGUGGGAGUAUAUUAAGAGACUUUAUAAAGUGGAUGGUUUUGGUGGCAGAGCAAGAAGCACCAAACUUACUGAGAAGCACAUAAAUCCAACUUCAUAUGACAAAAUGAAGGUCAAAUUUGCAGCCCAAGUUUUUAGCCGGCAAGUGGCUACAUCACUAGGAAUCCAGAUGAAGUCUCUGCUAUCUCUCCAGGAUCAUGAUUACAUAAGUUUAAAUAAAGACAUUGGAAAUGGUUUGUUCACAGCAGAAAUUCUUCUUUUUAUAAAUAAUUUGUUUGAUAGUUUAAAUGGUUUUGGUCAUUAUGGGAAUAAGUUAAAACAUGCUCUUUCAUAUAAUUCGGAGUACAUUGCAUUCUGGAAUGAUGCUGUGAAAAAGCUAGCUUCAAUGCGCUUUGACGCUUCCAAUGAAAGGGAAAGGAAGCCUUUAUCACUGAAGCAUUUUGAACAUAAUAUAAAAACAAUAAAACAUUUGUGGUCAGAUCUGCUGAGAAUUGAUGGUGUUAAAUUUUCAAGUCUUAGACGUCUUAAUCAAGAUCCGAUAGAAAACUUUUUUGGUCAAAUAAAGGCACAUGGUAAUUUUACUACAAAUCCUAAUUGUACUCACUUUGUAUCGGCUUUUAAAACCUUGUUGAUUAACAACAUUACUACCGGUAAAUCUUUAUACACUAAUUGUUCUGAUGAUGAUGACAAAAUGUUGGGAACAUUAAACAUUUAGUCAGCCACCAAAAAUAUGGUUCAUACACUGAUAGUCUUCAAUGUAAUGAAACUAACUUUAUAGAAAUUUCUAUACCUAACGAGAAUAUAUUCCAACAUAUGUCUGUACCAUAUAUUGCUGGUGCAGUUUGUCGUUUUUUGAUGUCCAAUUUGACCUGCACAGAUUGUGAUAAUUGUACAAAAGCACUAUUAUCUCAGAGAGAGUCUAAUGUAGAUAGGUUAUCUUAUCCUUCUAAUAAUUUUAGUCAAAUGGUCUGGCAGAGUAUUUACAUUAUUGACAAGAUGAUGCCUUUCUUUGCAGUGUUUAUAUUUAUUCUGAAUUUAAUUUAAUAAAAUAUAUUGACACUACUUGGUACAACUGUAAUAUUCACAAAACAGCUGUUAUUAAAGCUUUUUGGUCCUGCAUAGUUAGAAUGCAAGUUAAGCAGUGGUGUAUUAAUUUUAAUAAUAGAAUGAAUAAUAUUGAUUCAAGGCCUAAAGAUAUAGAAAUGGAAACUCUAAUCCGUGAGAAAGUCACAAAAGGAUUGAGUUAUAGAUCACAAAGAAGGCGUAGUUCCUAAUCUCACUUAAUUAAAGUUCUUCAUAGUAUUUUGUCCACAAUUAUUACGAUUUUUGCAAAUGAAAUUGAUGUUUUUUAAAGUGUAUUACCCACAUUUUUGUGGUUUUAAAUUAGCUAUUAUGCUUUCUGUUUAUUGUAUAAAAUCAUAGUAGUUUAUAAUAAUCUUCAUUAUGGUGACUGUUAAGCAAAUAGUUGUUAAAAUCUUAUAUACAUAAUUAUGCUUGUACAACCUAAAAUGAGCCUACCAGAUAAUUGUCAAGUAAAUUACAUUUCUACAAAAAGUAGUAUUAUGUGUAUGUUUCCCAAAUUGUUCAUAUUUGUAUUGAUUUACAUUGUGCAGAAUUAGUAAUUUUACCUUUAAUUUAAUAUUAUAUUUUCAUUAUAAUGUAUCCAACAUUUUUUGUAUUUUGUAGCAUUUUUAGUAGCAAAUGUGCCAUUAUAUGAUAUUGCAAAAUGUUAAAUUAUGCAUGGAAUGCUUUUCGUGAGAGAAUAAUCAUAUUCAAAUAAAUUCUUAGUUUUGUGUUUUUAGAUUAGUUAUUAUACCUAAUGCAUAGUGUAUAAUGGUGAAUAGCUUAAGUAUGUCUCCUUAUAUUGUGUAAAAUUAUAGUGCUAGUCUUCACAAUUAUCUUCAUUUUGCUAACCGUUAAGCAAGCCGUUGUUAAAAUCUCAUAUGCAUAAUUAUGCUUGAACACGGUAAAAUAAAAAUGUUUAUGUUUCCAAAAUAGUUCAUAUUUCUAUUCAUUUACUAUGUACAAAAAUAUUAUUUUUACCUUUUUAUUUAAAAUCAUGUUUUCAAUAUAAAAUAUCUAACAUUUUUGUCCUUUGUAGUAAUUUUUCUUACAAAUGUGCCACUAGUCAGUCAUUGUAUUGUCAUUAUUUUUAAUUUUAUGUAAAUUGUUAUUGUUAAAUUUAUAUGCAAUCCAAUUUUGUGUCUUGUAUGUUAUUGUUGAUUUUAUAUGACAAAAUAUUAAUAAGUGAAUGACAACCAAAAAAUCAUGUUGCAUUUGCCUUUAUAAUAUUGAAUUGUAAUGAUGAAAAUUAAAAUUAUGUUGGUAAAUGUAAGCAGCUGAACGGUGUGCACUAUUUAUGUAUUUGCUUUAUGCCAGUCCAUGUUUUAAUCCGUGCACCACCUUAUAUAAGCUAUGUGACUACUUUGUAUACAACAUCUAUAAAAAAAAUGUGGUAAUUGAUGACAAAAAAAUAAGCCCGGAGUUCCUUUCUGCCUUUCUUCUUCGGGUAGUCAUCUCUUAGGUAGCUAGUGAAAGGCUGGUGGGUUAGCUAGGUAGGGGCCUAUAUUAUAUUCUUCGACGGCGAAGAUCGUGAUGCAUUCCUUUUAUUUUAUUAAGAUUAUAUCAUAUACCUUUUGGCCCGAGCUGACUUCUUUCGUUUUUUUAUCCUUUAUAUAUCAAUUAUUUUUUAAAUUUUAGCUUCUGUAGUGACUUAGUUGUUUGUUCAUUAAUUUAUUUGAUUUGUUUUAAACGUAUCAUAAGUACAGCAAUAACUUUGUUUACCUAUAUUUUAUUUUAUUGAACAGAAAAUGCGACUGCAAUUUUAAGUAAAAAAAAUAUUUUCGCUGGCUAUCGGUAGAUUCUGAAAUUAUGGUAAAUUGGGCGUGAAAAGUAAUGAAAACAUUACUAAUAAAUCUUUAUAUUUAGAUAAGAAAA